This 449-nucleotide ribosomal RNA is filed under the name uncultured bacterium. RNAcentral's name for it is "partial 16S ribosomal RNA". It matches the Rfam family "Bacterial small subunit ribosomal RNA", at positions 29 to 523 of the family's 1533-position model. The record is from RNAcentral.
AACGAACGCUGGCGGCAUGCCUAACACAUGCAAGUCGAACGAGACCUUCGGGUCUAGUGGCGCACGGGUGCGUAACGCGUGGGAAUCUACCCUUGGGUUCGGAAUAACAGUUAGAAAUGACUGCUAAUACCGGAUGAUGACGUAAGUCCAAAGAUUUAUCGCCCAAGAAUGAGCCCGCGUAGGAUUAGGUAGUUGGCGGGGUAAUGGCCCACCAAGCCGACGAUCCUUAGCUGGUCUGAGAGGAUGAUCAGCCACACUGGGACUGAGACACGGCCCAGACUCCUACGGGAGGCAGCAGUGGGGAAUAUUGGACAAUGGGCGAAAGUCUGAUCCAGCAAUGCCGCGUGAGUGAUGAAGGCCUUAGGGUUGUAAAGCUCUUUUACCAGGGAUGAUAAUGACAGUACCUGGAGAAUAAGCUCCGGCUAACUCCGUGCCAGCCGCCGCCGUAA